Canis lupus familiaris (dog) is the source of this 106-nucleotide non-coding RNA. NCBI's taxonomy places the organism in Eukaryota, Metazoa, Chordata, Mammalia, Carnivora, Canidae. The record is from Rfam.
AGGAGGAACAACCCCAGUGGCGGCGGCCAGCUCUGGAGCCCUGGAGUCAGCUCCCACAGUAGCUACAGAGCUCUCAGUCUGCAGGGCCUGGAGGCUCCCGGGCAGG